This 435-nucleotide ribosomal RNA is filed under the name uncultured bacterium. RNAcentral's name for it is "bacterial SSU rRNA". It matches the Rfam family "Bacterial small subunit ribosomal RNA", at positions 355 to 796 of the family's 1533-position model. The record is from RNAcentral.
UCGAGGAUCUUCGGCAAUGGGCGCAAGCCUGACCGAGCGACGCCGCGUGUGCGAUGAAGGCCUUCGGGUUGUAAAGCACUGUCGAGGGGGAGGAAGGCCCGCAAGGGCUUGACCUAUCCCUGGAGGAAGCACGGGCUAAGUUCGUGCCAGCAGCCGCGGUAAGACGAACCGUGCGAACGUUGUUCGGAAUCACUGGGCUUAAAGGGCGCGUAGGCGGGCGAUCAAGUCUGGGGUGAAAGCCUCCGGCCUAACCGGAGAAGAGCUUCAGAUACUGGUGGCCUCGAGGGAGGUAGGGGCAUGCGGAACUUCCGGUGGAGCGGUGAAAUGCGUAGAGAUCGGAAGGAACGCCGGUGGCGAAAGCGGCGUGCUGGACCUCUUCUGACGCUGAGGCGCGAAAGCCAGGGGAGCAAACGGGAUUAGAUACCCCCGUAGUCC